RNAcentral lists this transfer RNA (85 nucleotides) under Felis catus (domestic cat). It matches the Rfam family "tRNA". From Rfam's summary of the family: Transfer RNA (tRNA) molecules are approximately 80 nucleotides in length. The record is from Rfam by way of RNAcentral. Lineage: Eukaryota; Metazoa; Chordata; Mammalia; Carnivora; Felidae.
GCCUGGGUGGCUCAGUCGGUUGAGCAUGAGACUUCAGCUCAGGUCAUGAUCUCGCAGUUCGUGGGUUCAAGCCCCAUGUCAGGCU